This 301-nucleotide ribosomal RNA is filed under the name uncultured bacterium. RNAcentral's name for it is "partial 16S ribosomal RNA". It matches the Rfam family "Bacterial small subunit ribosomal RNA", at positions 509 to 807 of the family's 1533-position model. The record is from RNAcentral.
CAGUAGCCGCGGUAAUACAGAGGGUGCGAGCGUUAAUCGGAUUUACUGGGCGUAAAGCGUGCGUAGGCGGCUUCUUAAGUCGGAUGUGAAAUCCCUGAGCUUAACUUAGGAAUUGCAUUCGAUACUUGGAAGCUAGAGUAUGGGAGAGGAUGGUAGAAUUCCAGGUGUAGCGGUGAAAUGCGUAGAGAUCUGGAGGAAUACCGAUGGCGAAGGCAGCCAUCUGGCCUAAUACUGACGCUGAGGUACGAAAGCAUGGGGAGCAAACAGGAUUAGAUACCCCUGUAGUCCCUGUCUCUUAUAC